CCGGUAUCCAGGUAACAAAUUAACCAAUCAAAAUAAAGAAUACUCGGAACAAUUUCUUCCGAGUAAAUGUAAACAGUGAUUCACGUGGUAAUUAUCCAUUUUUAUAAAAUCAAAAAUUACACAAUUACCAGGCUUCUCACAAAAGAAAUCAAAGUUACUCAAUUUUAUUACGGCACAAUAUAUACACAAGACAAACAAAUAUAUUUCACAGCACAGGACAAACACUCGACUAUACCACUGACAGUCACAUAUAACAUGUAAAGUUAAUGUUAAAGAGCAAAUAUAGCGUCUAGCCAUUAGAAAUGAUAAAUAUAUUCAUCCAAAC
RNAcentral lists this long non-coding RNA (325 nucleotides) under Mytilus galloprovincialis (Mediterranean mussel). The record is from RNAcentral. Lineage: Eukaryota; Metazoa; Mollusca; Bivalvia; Mytilida; Mytilidae.